This 451-nucleotide ribosomal RNA is filed under the name uncultured bacterium. RNAcentral's name for it is "partial 16S ribosomal RNA". It matches the Rfam family "Bacterial small subunit ribosomal RNA", at positions 29 to 523 of the family's 1533-position model. The record is from RNAcentral.
AACGAACGCUGGCGGCAUGCCUAACACAUGCAAGUCGAGCGCUCUUCUCAAUACGGGAGCGGCGCACGGGUGAGUAACGCGUGGGAACCUGCCCAGAGGUUCGGGACAACCGCGGGAAACUGCGGCUGAUACCGGAUGAUACCUGAGGGUCAAAGAUUUAUCGCCUUUGGAGGGGCCCGCGUCAGAUUAGGUAGUUGGUGAGGUAACGGCUCACCAAGCCUGUGAUCUGUAACUGGUCUGAGAGGAUGACCAGUCACACUGGGACUGAGACACGGCCCAGACUCCUACGGGAGGCAGCAGUGGGGAGUAUUGGACAAUGGGGGCAACCCUGAUCCAGCAAUGCCGCGUGGGUGAUGAAGGCCUUCGGGUUGUAAAGCCCUUUCGGCGGGGACGAUGAUGACGGUACCCGCAGAAGAAGCCCCGGCUAACUUCGUGCCAGCCGCCGCGGUAA